CAGCCGCCGCGGUAAUACGAAGGGGGCUAGCGUUGUUCGGAUUUACUGGGCGUAAAGCGCACGUAGGCGGAUCCUUAAGUCAGAGGUGAAAUCCCAAGGCUCAACUUUGGAACUGCCUUUGAUACUGGGGAUCUCGAGUUCGGGAGAGGUGAAUGGAACUGCGAGUGUAGAGGUGAAAUUCGUAGAUAUUCGCAAGAACACCAGUGGCGAAGGCGGCUCACUGGCCCGAUACUGACGCUGAGGUGCGAAAGCGUGGGGAGCAAACAGGAUUAGAUACCCCCGUAGUCCCUGUCUCUUAUAC
This 301-nucleotide ribosomal RNA is filed under the name uncultured bacterium. Its description in RNAcentral is "partial 16S ribosomal RNA". It matches the Rfam family "Bacterial small subunit ribosomal RNA", at positions 509 to 807 of the family's 1533-position model. The record is from RNAcentral.